AGUGAACGCUGGCGGUAGGCCUAACACAUGCAAGUCGAACGGCAGCACAGUAAGAGCUUGCUCUUACGGGUGGCGAGUGGCGGACGGGUGAGGAAUACAUCGGAAUCUACUUUUUCGUGGGGGAUAACGUAGGGAAACUUACGCUAAUACCGCAUACGACCUACGGGUGAAAGCAGGGGAUCUUCGGACCUUUCGCGAUUGAAUGAGCCGAUGUCGGAUUAGCUAGUUGGCGGGGUAAAGGCCCACCAAGGCGACGAUCCGUAGCUGGUCUGAGAGGAUGAUCAGCCACACUGGAACUGAGACACGGUACAGACUCCUACGGGAGGCAGCAGUGGGGAAUAUUGGACAAUGGGCGCAAGCCUGAUCCAGCCAUACCGCGUGGGUGAAGAAGGCCUUCGGGUUGUAAAGCCCUUUUGUUGGGAAAGAAAAGCAGCAGGUUAAUACCCCGCUGUUCUGACGGUACCCAAAGAAUAAGCACCGGCUAACUUCGUG
This 492-nucleotide ribosomal RNA is filed under the name uncultured bacterium. RNAcentral describes it as "partial 16S ribosomal RNA". It matches the Rfam family "Bacterial small subunit ribosomal RNA", at positions 29 to 507 of the family's 1533-position model. The record is from RNAcentral.